This 591-nucleotide ribosomal RNA is filed under the name Triticum aestivum (bread wheat). RNAcentral's name for it is "partial small subunit ribosomal RNA". Lineage: Eukaryota; Viridiplantae; Streptophyta; Magnoliopsida; Poales; Poaceae. The record is from RNAcentral.
AUGCAUCAAGCCAUACAAGGAUGUAAUGGAGCAAGAACUUGGGAGGAAUUCAAGAAGACUUUGAUGAGAUCACGUCUCAUCCGGAAGCAUUGUGAUAACCCGAUGAAGAAACCUUGUGCCUGCAAGAUUUGUGGAGACAUAGGACACACCAAUGAAGAUCACAAGGAUGGAUGCCCUGAUUGUGAGGAAAAUUACCCAAAGGAAGAAUGCCCAACUAGGCAGGUGACUUGUUUCCUGUGUGAAGGAACUACGCACUACCCUGCUCAAUGUCAGAUUUACCCCAAGGUACAAGAAAUUACCAAGCAGCGAAAAGAAGCCCUCAGGGAAAGUUUGGAAGAAUCUGUGAUGGAGGAAGUUAUUGAAGACCCUGAUGAAGAAGGCCUAAACAGAUUUUACGUUCAUGCCUGCUAUUCAUGUGGAGAAGAAGGACAUUUUUCACGGUAUUGCACAAAGGAAAGAGAAGAGUAUCUUGGAGAUUUCUCGAUAGCAGAAGUGAAGUUUGACCCUCAGGAAAUAGAAGCAUUGAUUAUUACAGAGAAAUCCAGGAAGAGAAAACGAAGGCAUCCCCAGAGCAACUCAAUUUCUGCAUAG